CUCGUAGGUGGUUUGUCGCGUUGUUCGUGAAAACUCACAGCUUAACUGUGGGCGUGCGGGCGAUACGGGCAUAACUUGAGUACUGUAGGGGUAACUGGAAUACCUGGUGUAGCGGUGAAAUGCGCAGAUAUCAGGAGGAACACCGAUGGCGAAGGCAGGUUACUGGGCAGUUACUGACGCUGAGGAGCGAAAGCAUGGGUAGCGAACA
RNAcentral lists this ribosomal RNA (208 nucleotides) under uncultured bacterium. Its description in RNAcentral is "partial 16S ribosomal RNA". It matches the Rfam family "Bacterial small subunit ribosomal RNA", at positions 568 to 774 of the family's 1533-position model. The record is from RNAcentral.